This 54-nucleotide transfer RNA is filed under the name Harpactocrates apennicola. RNAcentral's name for it is "tRNA-Val". Lineage: Eukaryota; Metazoa; Arthropoda; Arachnida; Araneae; Dysderidae. The record is from RNAcentral.
UUUCUAAAAGCCCUUAGCUUUUCAUUUACACUGAAACUAAUCUCAAUUCUAUAA